Molecule: long non-coding RNA, 828 nt
Organism: Hyalella azteca
Lineage: Eukaryota; Metazoa; Arthropoda; Malacostraca; Amphipoda; Hyalellidae
Exons: 2
Source: RefSeq, a predicted model, not a curated record
CCCACAGAAGAAAUUUGUCAAUUAAUUAUUCGUGAACUUUCAGUGUUUGGAGCUGACACAUCUGGCAAUAGCACAAUCUUCGUGGAUUACCUGUCGGAGAAAGAGGUCGCGCUGCAGACAUGUUAUCCCUUCUUGUUUGGCAGCAAUCGGUUCUACUACGUGUUCUCAUCACUGGACUACUCAGAUUUUGGAGACCCAAGCUGCGUUCUCAGGGCCGCUGGAAAUUUGGAUGCAUUCGUAUUGACGAGCACGGCUGUCUGCAGUGCCCCACCUGAGCCCCAAGAGCUCCGACAAUGUCGCAUGAUUGCCUCUCAAUAAACAAUAAGUUUAGCCCCACCGGAACCCUGAACACAGAUAAUGUCGCUUUAUCGCCUCUCAAUAAACAAUAAUUUGAGCCCCCACCGGAACCCUGAACACAGAUAAUGUCGCUUGGUUGCCCCUCAAUAAACAUUAAGUUGAGCCCCAAGGGUAACCCUGAACUCCGACAAUGUCGCUUGAUUGCCUCUCAUUAAACAAUAAGUUGAGCCCCACCGGAACCCUGAACACAGAUAAUGUCUGCUUGGUUGCCCCUCAAUAAACAUUAAGUUGAGCCCCAAGGGUAACCCUGAACUCCGACAAUGUAGCUUGGUUGCCCCUCAAUAAACAAUAAGUUGAGCCCCACCGGCAACCCUGAACCCGACAAUGUCGCUUGGUUGCCCCUCAAUAAACAUUAAGUUGAGCCCCAAGGGUAACCCUGAACUCCGACAAUGUCGCUUGGUUGCCCCUCAAUAAACAAUAAGUUGAGCCCCACCGGCAACCCUGAACCCGACAAUGUCGCUUGGUUGCCCC